AAUAGAUACCCUGGUAGUCCACGCCGUAAACGAUGGAUGCUAGCUAUUGGGGGGAAUCGACCCCCUCCGAAGCGAAGCUAACGCGUUAAGCAUCCCGCCUGAGUAGUACGAGCGCAAGCUUAAAACUCAAAGGAAUUGACGGGGACCCGCACAAGCGGUGGAGCGUGUGGUUUAAUUCGAUGGUAAACGAAGAACCUUACCAAGGUUUGACAUCCCGGUAGCCGUUCUCCGAAAGGAGAAUUUCAUUUAGUUGGACCGGUGACAGGUGAUGCAUGGCCGUCGUCAGCUCGUGUCGUGAGAUGUUGGGUUAAGUCCCGCAACGAGCGCAACCCUUAUGAUUUAGUUGGAUUUUUCUAAACAGACUGCCCUGGUAACAGGGAGGAAGGAGGGGAUGAUGUCAGGUCAGUAUUUCCCUUACACCUUGGGGCGACACACGCGCUACAAUGGCCGGUACAAUGGGCAGCUAAGCCGCGAGGUGGAGCAAAUCCCAUCAAAGCCGGUCCCAGUUCGGAUUGCAGGCUGAAACCCGCCUGCAUGAAGCCGGAAUCGCUAGUAACC
RNAcentral lists this ribosomal RNA (558 nucleotides) under uncultured bacterium. RNAcentral describes it as "bacterial SSU rRNA". It matches the Rfam family "Bacterial small subunit ribosomal RNA", at positions 777 to 1343 of the family's 1533-position model. The record is from RNAcentral.